RNAcentral lists this transfer RNA (70 nucleotides) under Lepilemur ruficaudatus (red-tailed sportive lemur). Its description in RNAcentral is "tRNA-His". It matches the Rfam family "tRNA". Rfam says of the family: Transfer RNA (tRNA) molecules are approximately 80 nucleotides in length. RNAcentral also lists the same sequence under 1 other name. The record is from RNAcentral. Lineage: Eukaryota; Metazoa; Chordata; Mammalia; Primates; Lepilemuridae.
GUAGAUGUAGUUUAAACAAAACGCUAAACUGUGAAUUUAGAUAUAGGAAUUUGAAACCCCCUUAUCUACC